RNAcentral lists this ribosomal RNA (375 nucleotides) under Triticum aestivum (bread wheat). RNAcentral describes it as "partial small subunit ribosomal RNA". Lineage: Eukaryota; Viridiplantae; Streptophyta; Magnoliopsida; Poales; Poaceae. The record is from RNAcentral.
AUGGUGUACGGGCCGUGCGACAACAACGCCAAGCUUCUGUUUCUGGCAGACCUUGCUCGCAUCCGCUCUAUCACGCCUGGGCCGUGGGUGAUUAUAGGUCAUUUUAACCUCAUUUAUGAGGCGCGGGACAAGAACAACUCCAACCUCAACCUUCGGAUGAUGUCGUGUUUUCGUGACACGCUGAACCGUAGCGAGCUCAAGGAAAUAAAGCUAUCUGGUUGGCGGUUCACUUGGUCGAAUGAACAGGCAAACCCCACGUUGGUUCGCUUGGAUAGGGCGUUCUGCGACCCAGAUUGGGACCUUGGAUUCUCUAACUCUCGGCUGCUACCGAUUGCCACGGCCAUGUCUGAUCAUUGCCCCUUACUCCUGACCUGU